GUGGGGAAUAUUGGACAAUGGGCGAAAGCCUGAUCCAGCCAUGCCGCGUGUGUGAAGAAGGUCUUCGGAUUGUAAAGCACUUUAAGUUGGGAGGAAGGGCAGUAAGUUAAUACCUUGCUGUUUUGACGUUACCGACAGAAUAAGCACCGGCUAACUUCGUGCCAGCAGCCGCGGUAAUACGAAGGGUGCAAGCGUUAAUCGGAAUUACUGGGCGUAAAGCGCGCGUAGGUGGUUUUGUAAGUUGGAGGUGAAAUCCCCGGGCUCAACCUUGGAACUGCCUCCAAAACUACUGAGCUAGAGUACGGUAGAGGGUAGUGGAAUUUCCUGUGUAGCGGUGAAAUGCGUAGAUAUAGGAAGGAACACCAGUGGCGAAGGCGACUACCUGGACUGAUACUGACACUGAGGUGCGAAAGCGUGGGGAGCAAACAGGAUUAGAAACCCCUGUAGUCC
RNAcentral lists this ribosomal RNA (450 nucleotides) under uncultured bacterium. RNAcentral's name for it is "partial 16S ribosomal RNA". It matches the Rfam family "Bacterial small subunit ribosomal RNA", at positions 354 to 796 of the family's 1533-position model. The record is from RNAcentral.